GUGCCUAAUACAUGCAAGUCGAACGAGUUCUCGUUGAUGAUCGGUGCUUGCACCGAGAUUCAACAUGGAACGAGUGGCGGACGGGUGAGUAACACGUGGGUAACCUGCCCUUAAGUGGGGGAUAACAUUUGGAAACAGAUGCUAAUACCGCAUAGAUCCAAGAACCGCAUGGUUCUUGGCUGAAAGAUGGCGUAAGCUAUCGCUUUUGGAUGGACCCGCGGCGUAUUAGCUAGUUGGUGAGGUAAUGGCUCACCAAGGCGAUGAUACGUAGCCGAACUGAGAGGUUGAUCGGCCACAUUGGGACUGAGACACGGCCCAAACUCCUACGGGAGGCAGCAGUAGGGAAUCUUCCACAAUGGACGCAAGUCUGAUGGAGCAACGCCGCGUGAGUGAAGAAGGCUUUCGGGUCGUAAAACUCUGUUGUUGGAGAAGAAUGGUCGGCAGAGUAACUGUUGUCGGCGUGACGGUAUCCAACCAGAAAGCCACGGCUAACUACGUGCCAGCAGCCGCGGUAAUACGUAGGUGGCAAGCGUUAUCCGGAUUUAUUGGGCGUAAAGCGAGCGCAGGCGGUUUUUUAAGUCUGAUGUGAAAGCCCUCGGCUUAACCGAGGAAGCGCAUCGGAAACUGGGAAACUUGAGUGCAGAAGAGGACAGUGGAACUCCAUGUGUAGCGGUGAAAUGCGUAGAUAUAUGGAAGAACACCAGUGGCGAAGGCGGCUGUCUGGUCUGUAACUGACGCUGAGGCUCGAAAGCAUGGGUAGCGAACAGGAUUAGAUACCCUGGUAGUCCAUGCCGUAAACGAUGAAUGCUAGGUGUUGGAGGGUUUCCGCCCUUCAGUGCCGCAGCUAACGCAUUAAGCAUUCCGCCUGGGGAGUACGACCGCAAGGUUGAAACUCAAAGGAAUUGACGGGGGCCCGCACAAGCGGUGGAGCAUGUGGUUUAAUUCGAAGCAACGCGAAGAACCUUACCAGGUCUUGACAUCUUUUGAUCACCUGAGAGAUCAGGUUUCCCCUUCGGGGGCAAAAUGACAGGUGGUGCAUGGUUGUCGUCAGCUCGUGUCGUGAGAUGUUGGGUUAAGUCCCGCAACGAGCGCAACCCUUAUGACUAGUUGCCAGCAUUUAGUUGGGCACUCUAGUAAGACUGCCGGUGACAAACCGGAGGAAGGUGGGGAUGACGUCAAAUCAUCAUGCCCCUUAUGACCUGGGCUACACACGUGCUACAAUGGAUGGUACAACGAGUUGCGAGACCGCGAGGUCAAGCUAAUCUCUUAAAGCCAUUCUCAGUUCGGACUGUAGGCUGCAACUCGCCUACACGAAGUCGGAAUCGCUAGUAAUCGCGGAUCAGCACGCCGCGGUGAAUACGUUCCCGGGCCUUGUACACACCGCCCGUCACACCAUGAGAGUUUGUAACACCCGAAGCCGGUGGCGUAACCCUUUUAGGGAGCGAGCCGUCUA
Molecule: ribosomal RNA, 1453 nt
Filed under: Lacticaseibacillus paracasei
Lineage: Bacteria; Bacillati; Bacillota; Bacilli; Lactobacillales; Lactobacillaceae
Description: bacterial SSU rRNA
Rfam family: Bacterial small subunit ribosomal RNA
Source: RNAcentral